This 1092-nucleotide long non-coding RNA is filed under the name Oncorhynchus mykiss (rainbow trout). Its description in RNAcentral is "lncRNA (ENSOMYG00000074823.1)". The record is from RNAcentral. Lineage: Eukaryota; Metazoa; Chordata; Actinopteri; Salmoniformes; Salmonidae.
AUGGACAUGGCAUUGAGGAGUACACCACAUCAGUCACUGGUUUUAUCAAUAAGUGCAUUGAGGGAACGUGUGACUGUACGUACACACCCCAACCAGAAGCCAUGGAUUACAGGCAACAUUCGCACUGAGCUAAAGGGUAGAGCUGCCGCUUUCAAGGUGCGGGACUCACAUACAGACACAUACAGACACACCCACAUACAGACACAUACAGACACACCCACAUACAGACACAUACAGACACACCCACAUACAGACACAUACAGACACAUAAAGAAACACCCACAUACAGACACACCCACACACAGACACAUACAGACACAUACAGACACAUGCAGACACAUACAGGCACAUACAGACACAUACAGACACACCCACAUACAGACACAUACAGACACACCCACAUACAGACACAUACAGACACACCCACAUACAGACACAUACAGACACACCCACAUACAGACACAUACAGACACAUACAGAAACACCCACAUACAGACACACCCACACACAGACACAUACAGACACAUACAGACACAUGCAGACACAUACAGGCACAUACAGACACAUACAGACACAUACAGAAACACCCACAUACAGACACAUACAGACACAUACAGAAACACCCACAUACAGACACAUACAGACACACCCACAUACAGACACAUACAGACACACCUACAUACAGACACAUACAGAAACACCCACAUACAGACACAUACAGACACAUACAGACACGCCCACAUACAGACACAUACAGACACACCCACAUACAGACACAUACAGACACACCUACAUACAGACACAUACAGAAACACCCACAUACAGACACAUACAGACACAUACAGAAACACCCACAUACAGACACAUACAGACACAUACAGACACGCCCACAUACAGUCACAUACAGACACACCCACAUACAGACACAUACAGACACACCUACAUACAGACACAUACAGAAACACCCACAUACAGACACAUACAGACACAUACAGACACGCCCACAUACAGACACAUACAGACACACCCACAUACAGACACAUACAGACACACUCACAUACAGACACAUACAGGCACCUACAGACACACUAA